AGUGGACGCUGGCGGUAGGCCUAACACAUGCAAGUCGAACGGCAGCACAGUAAGAGCUUGCUCUUACGGGUGGCGAGUGGCGGACGGGUGAGGAAUACAUCGGAAUCUACUUUUUCGUGGGGGAUAACGUAGGGAAACUUACGCUAAUACCGCAUACGACCUACGGGUGAAAGCAGGGGAUCUUCGGACCUUGCGCGAUUGAAUGAGCCGAUGUCGGAUUAGCUAGUUGGCGGGGUAAAGGCCCACCAAGGCGACGAUCCGUAGCUGGUCUGAGAGGAUGAUCAGCCACACUGGAACUGAGACACGGUCCAGACUCCUACGGGAGGCAGCAGUGGGGAAUAUUGGACAAUGGGCGCAAGCCUGAUCCAGCCAUACCGCGUGGGUGAAGAAGGCCUUCGGGUUGUAAAGCCCUUUUGUUGGGAAAGAAAAGCAGCAGGUUAAUACCCCGCUGUUCUGACGGUACCCAAAGAAUAAGCACCGGCUAACUUC
This 489-nucleotide ribosomal RNA is filed under the name uncultured bacterium. RNAcentral describes it as "partial 16S ribosomal RNA". It matches the Rfam family "Bacterial small subunit ribosomal RNA", at positions 29 to 504 of the family's 1533-position model. The record is from RNAcentral.